UUUUGGGUAAUUUUGGGGUUCCCAAUUUUGGUUUUUCCCCCCCAAAGUCAAGCAGGUGUUCAAGGACCUGGAGUUCCUGGGUUUUGAGGAGGAUUUUGGGGAUUUUGGGUAAUUUUGGGUA
This 121-nucleotide long non-coding RNA is filed under the name Zonotrichia albicollis (white-throated sparrow). RNAcentral's name for it is "lncRNA (ENSZALG00000004451.1)". Lineage: Eukaryota; Metazoa; Chordata; Aves; Passeriformes; Passerellidae. The record is from RNAcentral.